CUAGCGGCCCGGCCAUUGUCGAGAGGACGUCUGCGCGGACGGGAGAAGCUUUGCCGGGUCGCCACGAAGAAUGUCGCCGACGGACGCAGCUUCGCUGCCGCUGAAGGACACGGAGGUUUAUCGCUGCGAGCAUUUUGUUUUCACAGACUAACCUCGCCUCAUAACAAGGCCGCGACCUCCUGUUAGCUCGGAGCUAUGUCUGGAAGUCCAGAUUUACACGAUGCCGAUAAUGACGCCAUUGUGUGUAAGUAACUGUUACUGUUUUCUCCCUCGCUUAAUUUUACUGUGACUUACGUUUCUUUAUUCAUACCAGUCUUUAAUUGUUUUCCAGCUGCCUGUAAGUCAUUACGAGGCAGGACAACAAACAAGCAGAUCUUGCAUCGCAGGCGGAGGCUGUGAGGAGUUCAGCUCGGAGUCAGAACAAAGAGGCUGCUGGAAGCGAGCCAGAGUGCUAGCUGAGGAUGAGGUGGACCUUUGGAAGUGCGCCGCCAUGGACCUGAUGUCUGAGGAGGAAGACGGCACAAGAUGGCGGGUGUCUGGAUGAAUUGUGCGACCUCCGUCCUUUCGCAGCCGGGAGCUCACCAAGCUCUGCGCCACGCUGCAGUCACAUGAGAGGCGAUUCCGAAGUACAGGGCAGCGCACCACAGACGUCUGCAGAAACAGACACUUAGCGGUGCUGUAUGAUUUGGGCCUCUUGUGAGCUUCCCGUUUGUUGUGUGGGCAAAUUAUGCUCUGUACAUGCUGUGUGUUUGUGCUAAUAAAACUCUUUGAAUAAACAACUCCUUCCUGGCAAAUGUUCCUUUCCUCAGUAAAUUCAUUCAUGUCAUUGAUGAUAUCAUAAAUAUAAAUGAAUGAAUAAAUCAAAUAAAUAAAUAAAUAAAUAAAAAAAAAAAAAAAUAUAUAUAUAUAUAUAUAUAUAUAUAUAUAUAUAUAUAUAUAUAUAUAUAUAUUCCCACUGGGGUUUACAUUUAUAAUGACCCAGGGUGACCAAUCACGAGUGAUUUUGCUUGUUUAUGAGUAGUGGUUUCAUCCAAUACUGAGUGAGGAUAUUCAAGCCAGCCACAUUCUCUGGCCAGGCGUGGUUUCGCUGCUAUUCAUAUGCAAAUUGGAGGCGUUCGCACCUCCGGGAGCUCCACUGACGUCAUGGUUCGUUUCCGACAAUUUUCGGCACUGACAAACGCCACAUUCACAACCUGUAAAUUGUCGUUAACUGCCGAAAAUUAGGGAGAUUUUCGGGCGUUUACGGGGCCGAAAAUCCCACUUUUCAUGCAGUGACUGCUGUCACAUGAGAGGCGAUUCCGAAGUACAGGGCAGCGCACCACAGACGUCUGCAAAAACAGACACUUUGCGGUGCUGUAGGAUUUUGGGCCUCUUGUGAGCUUCCCGUUUGUUGUGUGGGCAAAUUAUGCUUUGUACAUAGUUGUGGUGUGUUUGUGUUUGUGCUAAUAAAACUCUUUCUUCGAAUAAACAACACCUUCCUGGCAAAUGUUCCUUUCCUCAGUAAAUUCAUUCAUG
This 1515-nucleotide long non-coding RNA is filed under the name Sparus aurata (gilthead seabream). Its description in RNAcentral is "lncRNA (ENSSAUG00010007315.1)". Lineage: Eukaryota; Metazoa; Chordata; Actinopteri; Spariformes; Sparidae. The record is from RNAcentral.